GAUGAACGCUGGCGGCGUGCUUAACACAUGCAAGUCGAACGAAACACCUUAUUUGAUUUUCUUCGGAACUGAAGAUUUGGUGAUUGAGUGGCGGACGGGUGAGUAACGCGUGGGUAACCUGCCCUGUACAGGGGGAUAACAGUCAGAAAUGACUGCUAAUACCGCAUAAGACCACAGCACCGCAUGGUGCAGGGGUAAAAACUCCGGUGGUACAGGAUGGACCCGCGUCUGAUUAGCUGGUUGGUGAGGUAACGGCUCACCGAGGCGACGAUCAGUAGCCGGCUUGAGAGAGUGAACGGCAACAUUGGGACUGAGAAACGGCCCAAACUCCUACGGGAGGCAGGAGUGGGGAAUAUUGCAAAAUGGGGGAAACCCUGAUGCAGCGACGACGCGUGAGUGAAGAAGUAUGUCGGUAUGUAAAGCUCUAUCAGCAGGGAAGAAAAUGACGGUACCUGACGAAGAAGCCCCGGCUAACUACGUG
RNAcentral lists this ribosomal RNA (481 nucleotides) under uncultured bacterium. Its description in RNAcentral is "partial 16S ribosomal RNA". It matches the Rfam family "Bacterial small subunit ribosomal RNA", at positions 28 to 507 of the family's 1533-position model. The record is from RNAcentral.